RNAcentral lists this ribosomal RNA (369 nucleotides) under uncultured bacterium. Its description in RNAcentral is "bacterial SSU rRNA". It matches the Rfam family "Bacterial small subunit ribosomal RNA", at positions 527 to 896 of the family's 1533-position model. The record is from RNAcentral.
GUAGGGUGCAAGCGUUAAUCGGAAUUACUGGGCGUAAAGCGUGCGCAGGCGGCUUUGCAAGACAGAUGUGAAAUCCCCGGGCUCAACCUGGGAACUGCAUUUGUGACUGCAAGGCUGGAGUGCGGCAGAGGGGGAUGGAAUUCCGCGUGUAGCAGUGAAAUGCGUAGAUAUGCGGAGGAACACCGAUGGCGAAGGCAAUCCCCUGGGCCUGCACUGACGCUCAUGCACGAAAGCGUGGGGAGCAAACAGGAUUAGAUACCCUGGUAGUCCACGCCCUAAACGAUGUCAACUGGUUGUUGGACGGCUUGCUGUUCAGUAACGAAGCUAACGCGUGAAGUUGACCGCCUGGGGAGUACGGCCGCAAGGUUG